UACGGAGGGUGCAAACGUUGGUCGGAAUCAUUGGGCGUAAAGCGCACGUAGGCGGCCUGUUAAGUCGGGGGUGAAAGCCCUGGGCUCAACCCAGGAAGUGCACUCGAAACUGGCGGGCUUGAAUAUGGAAGAGGGUCGCGGAAUUCCCGGUGUAGAGGUGAAAUUCGUAGAUAUCGGGAGGAACACCAGUGGCGAAGGCGGCGACCUGGGCCAAUAUUGACGCUGAGGUGCGAAAGCGUGGGGAGCAAACAGG
This 253-nucleotide ribosomal RNA is filed under the name uncultured bacterium. Its description in RNAcentral is "partial 16S ribosomal RNA". It matches the Rfam family "Bacterial small subunit ribosomal RNA", at positions 524 to 776 of the family's 1533-position model. The record is from RNAcentral.